CAGAGAAUAGUUUAAUUAAAAUGUUAGUUUUGGGAACUGAUGAUAAGAGGCAACUCUUUUCUCUGA
Penaeus monodon (black tiger shrimp) is the source of this 66-nucleotide non-coding RNA. Lineage: Eukaryota; Metazoa; Arthropoda; Malacostraca; Decapoda; Penaeidae. The record is from the annotation of a RefSeq genome assembly.